GGGUGAUUUAGGAAAUCACAUGAUUUCAACUUUGAUUUUCUGCUCUGUUGUCAACACAGUUCUCUCCCCGCUCAUCAAAACACUCAAAUAGUGAAUAUAGUAAAAUUACAUUUCACAUGGUGCUAGGAUGGUCAAGUUAGUUAUCAGGUUGUGCCUAUGCAGUUGCUAAUGUGUUUGGAGCAGUUGUUUGGACAUUGCAAUAUGGUUUCUAAAGUGUUCUGGGCAGUUCCCACAUGCUUCUUUACCAGGCCAAGACCUUCGAGUGUCUACAGCCCUUUUUAAGCCUGCUAUUAAGAUCCAUCUUGGCUGAUCUGGGCUAUUGCAACUCGCUGCUUAACUACCAUAAUACGAUGCAUUGUUGGAGAAAAUAACUAGCUAAUCACAACUGUUUCCCAAAAUCGUAGUAAUGGUAUACACAUCCAUCAUUCAAACCUCUCUGGUUCAAUAAUGAUGUCAUGUAGGUGUAGUAAUAGUUUGAGAUCAAAUUAAUGUCAGAUUACUGCUAUAAAUAAUGAAGAAUACUUCACUUAUUUUGCUGUAUUUACAGAUGUUAGAUUCAAUCGUGUGUUAACACUUUUAUGUCAUACUUCUGGGUUACUAGAGCAUAUUCGCACAUGCACACUGUUCGAAAACUGCUUUUAUUUUAUAGAUAAACUAAGGGUACAUCUACAUGUCAGCAAUGUACUAAAAACAGAAAAGGCCAGUAGAUGGCGAUGUCACCUUGUAAAAAAAAAACGAGUGGCCAAAACGCGUAAAACUUUUUCCUUUUUAGUUCGAAAUAUUAAAAUAAUUAAUCAUUAGUUUAUAUCUUAUACACUAUAUCUUAAUCCCACAUUAAACACAUUGUUAUGUCUGUUUUUUUUAUUUUUAGUUUAUUUUUUUUCACGUUUUUAAGUACAAUAUUAGGUUAGUCCACAGCCCCCCACCAGGGGGGGCUGAUGCUAUGACGGGGGGGGCUGCAGCCCCCGCAGCACCCCCCUUCCCGCGCCAUUGAUAUAUGUGCAUAUCAUAUAUUUUUCAUUCA
Molecule: long non-coding RNA, 1024 nt
Organism: Cyprinus carpio carpio
Lineage: Eukaryota; Metazoa; Chordata; Actinopteri; Cypriniformes; Cyprinidae
Source: Ensembl